UACAGAGGUCCCAAGCGUUGUUCGGAUUCAUUGGGCGUAAAGGGUGCGUAGGCGGCGCGGUAAGUCGGGUGUGAAAUCUCGGGGCUUAAACUCCGAAACUGCAUUCGAUACUGCCGUGCUUGAGGACUGGAGAGGAGACUGGAAUUUACGGUGUAGCGGUGAAAUGCGUAGAUAUCGUAAGGAAGACCAGUGGCGAAGGCGGGUCUCUGGACAGUUCCUGACGCUGAGGCACGAAGGCCAGGGAGCAAACGGG
Molecule: ribosomal RNA, 253 nt
Filed under: uncultured bacterium
Lineage: Bacteria
Description: partial 16S ribosomal RNA
Rfam family: Bacterial small subunit ribosomal RNA
Source: RNAcentral